CUCUGUCACAUCAAUGACAGCAUUACUGCCACACUCUUGCAAGAUGUUGAAAGGCCCUCUCCCAACCUUUUUGGCACAGAAAGCUCUAAAAUAUAAGGAACAUUAUAUUUAAAAAAAAACAACACCCUAGAGGUGGCUUAAGAAACUAGCAGAGCAAGAGGAUCUCAAGUGGAAUCCUUCAUCUAGACAGUUCACCAUCUCUAUGAUACCUACAAAAUAAAUACUACCUGCUUUUGGAUG
This is a long non-coding RNA of Vidua chalybeata, 240 nucleotides long. RefSeq lists it as uncharacterized. Lineage: Eukaryota; Metazoa; Chordata; Aves; Passeriformes; Viduidae. The transcript has 2 exons. The record is from RefSeq and is a predicted model, not a curated record.